RNAcentral lists this ribosomal RNA (721 nucleotides) under Halorubrum sp. A014. Its description in RNAcentral is "bacterial SSU rRNA". It matches the Rfam family "Archaeal small subunit ribosomal RNA", at positions 71 to 791 of the family's 1478-position model. The record is from RNAcentral. Lineage: Archaea; Methanobacteriati; Methanobacteriota; Halobacteria; Halobacteriales; Haloferacaceae.
CAGACUCGUGGCGAAUAGCUCAGUAACACGUGGCCAAACUACCCUUCGGAACACAAUACCCUCGGGAAACUGAGGCUAAUAGUGUAUAUCAUACCACCACUGGAAUGAGUGGUAUGUCAAACGCUCCGGCGCCGAAGGAUGUGGCUGCGGCCGAUUAGGUAGACGGUGGGGUAAUGGCCCACCGUGCCAAUAAUUGGUACGGGUCAUGAGAGUGAGAACCCGGAGACGGAAUCUGAGACAAGAUUCCGGGCCCUACGGGGCGCAGCAGGCGCGAAACCUUUACACUGCACGACAGUGCGAUAGGGGGAUCCCAAGUGCACAGGCAUAGCGCCUGUGCUUUUCGGUACCCUAAGGCGGUACCAGAAUAAGGGCUGGGCAAGACCGGUGCCAGCCGCCGCGGUAAUACCGGCAGCCCAAGUGAUGGCCGAUCUUAUUGGGCCUAAAGCGUCCGUAGCUGGCCGCGCAAGUCCAUCGGGAAAUCCACCUGCUCAACAGGUGGGCGCCCGGUAGAAACUGCGUGGCUUGGGACCGGAAGGCGCGACGGGUACGUCCGGGGUAGGAGUGAAAUCCUGUAAUCCUGGACGGACCGCCGAUGGCGAAAGCACGUCGCGAGGACGGAUCCGACAGUGAGGGACGAAAGCCAGGGUCUCGAACCGGAUUAGAUACCCGGGUAGUCCUGGCCGUAAACAAUGUCUGCUAGGUGUGGCUCCCACUACGAGUG